Molecule: non-coding RNA, 201 nt
Organism: Vicia faba (fava bean)
Lineage: Eukaryota; Viridiplantae; Streptophyta; Magnoliopsida; Fabales; Fabaceae
Source: the annotation of a GenBank genome assembly
AUGCUAAUUCUCACAAGCCCUAAAUUCCUAUCCCUAUAUAUAUAUUGGCAGAAAGAAGAAAAACAGGGGAAGAUAGAGAGAAGACGAAAAAGAAAAGAACGGAGAAGGGAUUACGUGAAGAACACCGAAAAACAAAUAACCUUGUUGUUGGUUGAAGAUCUGAGAGAAGGACGAUUGAGGUUUCAUUAUCUGAAACCAUAA